This 396-nucleotide long non-coding RNA is filed under the name Lathyrus oleraceus (garden pea). RNAcentral's name for it is "Pisum sativum (pea) long non-coding RNA (PSAT_LNC008721)". The record is from RNAcentral. Lineage: Eukaryota; Viridiplantae; Streptophyta; Magnoliopsida; Fabales; Fabaceae.
AAACAACUUACCUGUGAGCAGAGAGAGUAUUUGUUAACCCCUUUGAGCCUAAACAGUUGAAUCUCGGCUUGAAAUAAAGCGAGAUCUCAAAAAUCUUUUUUUUUACAACCCGGAAAAUCUUGAUUAUUGUUCUUUUGCCGUAAAAAGUUAAGAGCAUUCACUUAGGGUGUGGAAGAAAUAAGUUGGGGAGAACGAAAAAGAAUUGGUAAGUACCACAACUCUUGAAAAAGAAAAGAAAAACCGAGCAAGCAUAAAAAAAUGUAUGUAUAGAAAAUAUAGAAAAGAAACAUCUGUUUUGUAUAUUUGAUGUGAAAGAAAAGAACAAAAAUAAAAAGAAUGAAAAUGAAUGCUUGCUUGGAAGAAAAAUAGUAAAAAAUAUAAAUUGAGUUGUGGAAU